Molecule: long non-coding RNA, 2087 nt
Organism: Neopelma chrysocephalum (saffron-crested tyrant-manakin)
Lineage: Eukaryota; Metazoa; Chordata; Aves; Passeriformes; Pipridae
Exons: 2
Source: RefSeq, a predicted model, not a curated record
AAUAAAUGUUUAUGUUUGAAUAGGAGAGAAUAAAUGAAAAUUUAAAAGACACAAAGCAAUGAAGUGUAUCGAGAAGGUUUUGGGGAAGCCAGCAAAUUGAGUUCUGUAGUUGAACCUGUUAGUUUUGAGUGAAUAGAUUUGAGUAAUGCAGAUUUUAGUUAUCUUGAAAUUUCAGUCUUUUCUGUUACAGACAUCUUAAUUUUGAGAUUGUAUGAAGUAGGAUUUGAUGAGCUGGUAGUGCGAAGGAGGAGAAUAAUUUUCCUUGUGUAAUUUACCUGCACAUCAGCUCAGUUCCAGAAAUUGUAAAAUCAUUUUCAGUUUACGAGCUGUUUUCUCUGCCUUGCAGCUGGACAUCUUGCAAAGAGACUGAGGGGCUGGGAGGCUCUGGCAACAGUAAUGGGCACGGAGAAAAUCAAGUUUUAUUUCCUUGACAAAUUUAGAGAUACUGGCUACUUAAUAAAUUGCUGGGAAAUCCCUGUUAUGGUUUGAAACUGCAGCAAUUAUGACCCAGUAAGGACUGGCUUAAUGUGGGCUCCACCGGUGCAUGUCAGAAACUACUGUAUCUCUUUCCAUGGCAGAUGUUCCUCAUGAAUUAGAAGGUUCUCAUCUAAACACAACUGAAAUCAACAGAGCCUUUAAUUCAGGACACAGGUCUACUGGCACACUGUUUGCUAAAGCAUUGUCACUGAAAAGCUUGUUAGGAAUUAAUUUGAUAUAUUUGUGGCCAGUGUAUUGCAUUUCACGUUGACAGUCUUGGGUUUUGCUGCUUGUCUAACAGUUUCCUCUUAAGGACAUGUCCUUGGUGAAAACAGACCAAAUUUGCGUAACUACUCAAGUUGGAGAAAGCCUCUAACUUACAACUGAGCACUUACUUUGCCUUUUAUAAAGCCUGAUGGAGGAAGACAGUCUCAGAAAACUCCUUAGUAAGGGAGAGUACUAAGUAUGUUGUAUGUUCCUGCAGGACCAUGAUAGGAUGUGGGUUAACAUGCAGACCUACAGAAAUGUGACAUUUUCAUUUUAAUUCAGUGCUAUUUAAAUGCAGUACAAGUGUGUGUGCAGUGUUUCUGCUCUUUCCUUCAGGGCAUAGUUGCAUCAGAUGGGCUGAUGGAUGAAAGUUGUUUUUGCAGAAGGAAGGCUAAAGGGCAAGUGGAGUCUCCAAUCAUGAAAUUAAUAGACCAUUCUCUGUGAUGUUUGCUUUCUAGAUAAAUGUUCCAACACAGGCACCAAUAGGAAAAACAACUGCAUGCCUAUAUUAAUUUAAUUUGUGAGUAGUGUUGAUUAUACAUUUUGCUAAAGACACUAGAUGCUUUGGAUUUAGCACGUGUUGUUGUGAUUUGGAGGACAGAUACUGACUGUUCUUUGGCCUUGCUGCUGUCUGCUUGUGCAGUGCUGAACAAAUCACAUAACCUUUUGCUACUAUUAUUUCUCGAUCUACUAAUGAGGGCUAGUCCACCUCUCAUGAUUUGCUGUGAGAUACCCUGUUAAAAUGUGGAAUUCAGUUGUUUUCUAUUGCUGGUCCUUGCUAUUCAGGAAGUAAAUAACACAAAUGGAAAUGGUCAUCCACUUUGCCAUUACGUGGGUUUUGAAGUUGUUUGGAUGUCUAUGAUUUAAGAUGGCUUACAUUCCUCCUGCUACUGCAGGUUAUCGCAGCUUCUGGACUCUGUAUCCUAACCUGUGUGUAUUAAUUUGCUUCCAGUUCAUAUUGUUACAGUUCUGCAAGUAACUUUUUCCCUGGCCCUUGUUGCACAAUUGUUGCAAUUUCUCUCACGUGUAUGAAUAUUAAACAGCGAAUUUAACAUUAAGUCCUUGAAUGUUCUCCAAACCUGGCAUCUAUAGAUGUGGCCUUCUCUGCCUUCUCACCAGUCUUUAUGGUUGUGCUACAAUAUCUUAAGGUACCUGAGGUGACUUGCUCUUGGGUGGUGCUUGCUUUACUCUCUCUUAGAAAAGGCUAAAUAUAGGGAUUCUACAUUUAAAUGUCUAAAUUAGCUAGAGAUCAGUCAUUCUUCUCCACUCUUUUUAGUCACUCACACUUGUUUUGAGGACUGUAUUUCUCCAUCGUAAAUUGCAAAGCUUGCACCUUUUUUUUU